Arvicola amphibius (Eurasian water vole) is the source of this 9324-nucleotide long non-coding RNA. RefSeq lists it as uncharacterized. NCBI's taxonomy places the organism in Eukaryota, Metazoa, Chordata, Mammalia, Rodentia, Cricetidae. The transcript has 3 exons. The record is from RefSeq and is a predicted model, not a curated record.
GAGCGCAACCGGGGACACCCUGCGGGGUGCUGGCCCCACAGCCAAGUCUGUGCAAUGGGGCUGCGUUCUUUAGGUGUCCAUACGGUGGCCUAGCGUUCAGGGAACAGUCCGCAGCGCUGGAAAGGGACAGAAACUAGGGAUCGUAUGAUGAGCCCUUAUGGCUUCCUUGGAGGAUCGCACGCAGCCAGGUGGAGAGGCUCAAGAACAGGACUAAGGAGCAAGAAGCUGGCCAAGUCAGUCAUCAAGGCCUUCAGGACCUCGCGAGUUCCGCUGCAUAUGACCGAGAGUCUGGAAACUGCAGGGUCUCUGGGUGGGCGGGGCCCCAGUGACAGCCUGGCCAGUACCCAGUAUCAGGGUAGCCAGUCUCCAACUGCACUUUGGAACAGGACAGGGGGUGGGGCCAGUUGGCCCACUCAGGCCGGGUCUUGAGGCUGCAGAGGGCUGCUGGUCCUCCCGCCCAAUGUUGGUGAGUGGAUGGGAGAAGCCGUUUGAGUGCCCUAAGACAAGCUAUUGUUGGGGCAAGACAGCGACAACCCAGAGCAGGCCCUGAUAGACCUUCCAAACAGGGAGUAAGCUCCGCUCAUUUCUCAACUGCCCCAUACAAUCCUUUCAGACUCCAAGAGGGGAAAGGUUGCAGCCCUGGCCCUGGGUUUUGGAGACCCUGCCUUUGAUAUUGGUCCUCUGAAUGGCCCUUCUAGAACCUCGCUAUCGCUAGGGAGUUAAUCCUUUCUGCACCAGGCAGGGUUCCCUCCAGCAGGCUGUUACACAAGAGGCCCAUAUGGAGACGAGUGGCAGGUAUUUGCUGUGCAACUUGUCACCAUCUCCCCCAUACAGCUUCUUGAUCCCCCAAGGGGCCUGGCUUCCAGGUGACCUCUGCCUUCCUUGCUCCUUAGUGACACACAUCUUUGUUCUGGGGGUCUCGGAUCUGUCCCUGUUGUUCACUUUCAUACCUGUGCUUUGUGGUCACCUCUCCUCUUCUGGCUUCCUCUGCCACAUUCAUGCAGCUCAACAGGAGGCAGGAUGGGCUUAGGGCUGAGAGACUGCCAGGCCCUCUCUACUUGAUCACAAGGCACAGUGAGUUUACUGUCCCAGGACCAGUUGAAAAGCUUAGUGCUAGGCUAGUGGCCAGGAGGGGCCUGGAUUCCAGUUCUUGUUUGGAUUGAUCCCCCUGAGCCUGUCCUUUUCUGUGGGCAGACUAUGGUGUCACCUCCCAUUUGCCCUGCCUAGGGAAAGGGGGAAGGAGGCAGAAGACAUUAAAUGGGGUGACAUUUAAAAUAGAUGCUGACCCUGAAGUGCCAGAAUUCUAUUUUGGCUAAGUGGCUGUUGGGGAAGGAAGGUGAUGAAAACCAGAGAUGCCCUCUAACCUGCUGGUGUCUACAGGGGCCCGGAAUAGGAAAUGGUGUCUGGAGGGGGACAUUUCCAGCCAUAACGGGCAGGGAAACUAUGGCAGACCCCCAGCUGGGAGAGCCCAGGUCUCCCCUAUAUCUUAGACUUUGCUUGGGAGAACAGCAUGCUAGCUUGAAUUCUGCCCUCCAACAGCUGCUCCCGUGUGCUUUUUGUUCGAGUGGGUUCUGGUCUGCCACGAGGCGAGUGGGUUACUUGUCACAGAGUUGGCCAGAUGGGAGGAGGCCGCAUUGUUUGGCAAGCAGCCACUGGAUGGGCUUUCUGAGGUGAAUCAUACAGGGAGCCAGUGCAGGCGAGGCUUGCCGUGAAAGGGUUCAACGUGGCCAGAGCCACGGAAGAGAAAGAAGCUUUCUGAAGCCACCGUGAGUGCAGAGUGUGGAAGGCUUUCCUGGGUUCCCAGUGAGCUUUAAGGGGUGCCAAUAGGAAAGCUCGGGUUUGAGAACAGCAGAGACAGCCUGAACCAGACAGGCCCCAUAGAAGCAGAGCUGGGGUAGAGGCCAGAAAAGGAGCCCAAAUUGGCAAGGGGCUCAGCUCAGUGUGACCCCAGGGAUCACAACAAUUCUGUCUUCAGGUCCUUGGCCAUCUGCUUCCAGGAAGGUAGACUAGCUAAUGGGAACAUGGCACCAGAGGACACUGCUGAGGACUGAGGGGGUAGUAUGCCCAGGACCACCACCUUGUCAGCUGUUGCAGGACACUUACUUGAGCCCCUUCUCCAGAAGCAGCCCCUUGAAGGUCAGCUCCACACAGAAAGACACUGUUUACUCAUCUUACCAACCUCUUCCAGACAGGACUCUACCGAGAGGUCCCUCUAGGUUUAAUCCAAGAAUAGAGGAGAGAAGUGGCUACUUUAUUGGCCUUGGUUCUCCCAAAGAGUCAGCUGUGGCUCCAAUUGGUCCAGCCUCUCCCAUGUCUACUUCUGCCCUGUAUAAUCUCUGGGACAGCAGUCCCGGCCACUGUCUGGACAUUCUAUGGCCUUCAUGAACGGGGAAACAGGGCCUCUGAGGAAAGUAAAGCAGUUGGACUUGGUACCACACAGACCAGCAGCUCCCUAGAGUCUCCCCCUCUGAGCCAAGCCCCUGGGUGUUCAGGCUGAGCUGCAGUUGUGGGGAGUGGGUAGAAGACAUGCAGGGUGCACUAGGUACCAUGUGCAGGAAGCAGAUGUGAGCGGAGAGGGCCAGGGAACAGGGAAGAGGCCAGCACCCGGAGUUUUGUUUUUGUUACUUUAGCUGCCAUGCCAAUUUGUGGGUAUGGGUCUUCUCCAGGGAAGCAAGCAGCCUAGAGGCAGCCUGCUCUUCUCCCAGGGUUCCUUUGGGUUCUCAGAAGCCCCUUCCCGGAAUGUGUGGAAAUGUUGAGUGCUACCUGAGACGCCAGAGACGGUAGCUUAGGGUGGGCUUUCCGAGGACAGGGUGCAUUUUCUGUAUGUAUUGUUUGUGGUUUUGGUUUGACUCUGAGACAGGGUCGCACUAUGUAGCCCCGGCUGGCCUGGAACUAGUUAUGUAGAUGAGGCUGGCUUCAAACUCAGAGAGGUCUACCUGUCUCUGCCUCCCGAAUGCUGGAAUGAAAUGCUGUGGUACCACACCUGGCUGUCUUCUAUACUCUGAUCUGCUGACCUGGGAGCUUUGCUGGCUCUGGACAGAUGCCCAUCUUCAAAGGCAGGCCACUCCCCAGAGCUGGCAGGUAAUACUAUGUGUGGUGCCCAUCACUACCCCUUCCCCAGUCUGGGCCACUAUCCACCUGUCCCCCAGUCACUCCAAGGCAGGAAUUAGGCAUAGCAGUGAGCCCAGUGCCCCUGGAAGCUAUCCAUACUGGAUGAUCCUGUCUUUCACUUGCCCAUAGUGCCUCACCGCGGUGCUCUCUGGUGUGUGGCCCUGUGUGAUGUGAGGUGUCCCCUCUUGUCUGUGAGCAACAAACGCCCUUUCUACGGCAGGCAUCUGAGCUGGAGGUGUAACUCAGUGAUAGAAUACUUGCUUAGCAUAUGCAAGCCCCGGAACUGGCGCCUAGCAUCCCCCCAACUAAAUCAAUGGGGGCAGGGGUCCUGUGAUCUGUUUUAGCCUUAAGUGGAUAAUAACAAACCAUCUUAAAACAAAUAAUCUAACCAGAAUGUGGUCUCUGCAUGGUCAGCAUGCUUAGGCUUUGACUGUGGCAGUGGCUGCCGCAGCGGAGGACAUGGGAGCAUUUUGUCCUGCCCACCUUGGUAUUGCCCCAUGGCUAGUUAAGGAGCAUUCAGGAGGCAGAUGCCAGACAGAGGUGGCUGUCCUGACCUCAGCUCACCUCUCCCCUUUGAUAUACAGUCUAUGCUCCCAGAUGUCUUAUGAAUUCCUGGCUUCGCUUCCUUAGCCACCGGUCUUCAAGGAGUCUCUUGUUCAGACCCAGAGGGUCACCUACCCUGGCCUGCAGGGCAUGUGGCUCUCGAGGGUCAGCUUUGUUUCACUGAACCCUGGACCUGAGGUUGAAACCCUACUGUGGACCUUCUAAUGAACAGGAUAAGUGCAUCCUGGCCACAGUCAGGACUUACCAUCCAAGAGCUCUUCCUAGAUCCUGCCACCUCUGUGGUCACUUAAUGGCCUGGGGCCAAGUUGUAUGCGGUGGUUUGAAGAGGAAUGGCCCCCGUGCGCUCAUAUAUUUGAAUGUUUGAUUCCUGGCUGAUGGGCUGUUGUGGAAGAAUCUGGGAAUGUAGCCUUGUUGGAGAAGAACAUGGCCAGGAUGUUGAUGUCGCAGAACUGUGAGCGCCGCCACUGCCGGCGCGUCUUGAUACCCACCUUGUGGAGUUUGUCAAAGAUGAAGUUGCUCUUGCGGAAGAUGAAGAGGUGGAUGAGGUUGACGAGGAUGAUGAGGUUCAUGAAGCAGAGCAGGACAAUGUCCACACCUGCAAUGAUCCGCUGCAGUUGCACGGAUGGCAGCUUGCAGCUGACACGCACCGUGGGCCCAGCGCUACCCACUGGCCCGUCAGCUGAUCCCUAAAGCCACAGAAGGUUGCAUGGUUUUCUCUCUGCAAAUUUGUCUCCCACCCUGUAUCAAGCCAAUCCCUACGACCAGCCGAGCUGCAAGCUGGACAAGUGAGUGGAAAAACCCCCUGACUCCCACAGGCACAUCCAGUGGGGCCAAACUCCUCCUUUGCUGGCCUGUGUCUGGAGAGGCACAUGGUGCUUCCGAUGGCACAGCUGAUACCAAAGGACCUAGAGGAGUGCAGGUGUCCACGCAUGGCUGGGUACCACAGGGUGGUGAUGCUGUGGAUUCGUCGUGCUGGGCCUGAACUGGGCAGGAAGUCAGGUACCCAGACACUACAGUGGCUGCACGGAGCUCUCUGACUGAGGCCCCUCUCGUGGGAUUUCCCAGGGGUGCUGAGCCUUGCCCAGGUAAGUACAGGUGUUCACCAAGGAGACACACAAAAACCUGGUCCAUUUCAAGGCAGACAGGGAUAUCUCUGGGGAGUGCAGUUGAAGGAUCCUUUCCCCAGGGCAUGGUAAUGUGUAUACCUCGGCUCCUGGGCACGCUGCUGUUCACGAGAGUGCACUGGGGUUCCUAGCCAAGGACACUGCUUGCCAGUCCAGCACUGACGCUGCCUACCCCGUCACAGUGGCAUGGAGUCACAGUAACCACAGAGCACCGAGUGCGUGUUGGAGCCUCCAGAAAAGCAGGUCUAAAUGGGUAUGAGCACAGACAGGGUUGGGCUGCACUUGAGCCCUAGACACAGCUCCAGCCCACUCCUAGGGUCCAGCCUACAUACAGCCCAGCUCACUUAUGCCUCUGUCACUUGUAGAAGGAAGAAAACCUUUCAGGGGAUCUCUGGUUCUGCUGCGGCUGCUGCCUCUGGCCAGCUCAUAGCUACCACUCUCCUCUCAGCUCCCCCAACCCCAGGACAGGUACAAAGCCUUUCAAACUCCUUCAUGGUGGAAUGACCGCUCCCAAGAUGACCGUAUUGUGAUUUCUGGGCCUUGUGACUGUGUCGCUUUGUGUAGCAAGAAUGACUCUACAGCUGGGAUUAAGGACUUUAUGGGAGAUGAUCCUGGAUUACCUGAGUGGGACAAUGGAAUCGCAAGAGUCCCUUUCAAAGGCAGGCAGGGGUGGGUAGAGAAGGCCUGAGCCAAAUGACAUGGUGUAGUUAGGUCCUGAAAGGGGGGAAUGAGCUUGCUACUGGAAGCUCCGGAAAGACCAGCCCUGCCUGCAUUUUAUCCACAUUGUAAUACUCACUUCUGCAGAAAUGUGUGACAACCGUUUUUCUUAGUUUUUAAACGUGUGUGUGUGUGUGAGUAUGUAUGUGGGCGUAAUGUGUGCCAUGGCACAUGUGCAGAGGUCAGGGGACAACUGAUGGUAUUGGUUCUCUCCUCCUACCCUGUGGGUUCUAGCUCAGCCGUAUCUUUACUUGCUGAGCUAUCUCACCAGCCUCGGUUGUUUGCCUUUUGGUGUGUGUAAGGUGCUGGGGGUCAACCUACGACCUCCAGCACUCAGAGCAAGUGCUCUGCUGCCGAGCCACACCCUAGACUUGGACAUUGUUUGAAGCCACUGAGUUUGUGCUAGUCCGUUCCGCAGUGUGGGCAGAUAACAGGUGGCCCUGGCUUCUGGCAGGCUGACUGCCUCAUCUGUGUGUGUAGGUGGGAGUAGUACUCUAUCCUAGCACUCCCUGCAGUGCUAUGGGCGGAUACUUCUGAGUGCUGCAGGCCUUCCCAUACCUGGGACAGAAAGGGUUGACUCUCGGGGGGCCAGUGUCUGAGUGCCUCCACCCCACAGGCCCCCUAUGAGAUCCAUCUUGCUGGGUGCCCAGGAAAAGUCCAGAGGCCAGGUGCAGGACUCACCGGUGCUUAUGGGAACAGGGUAUUUUCAGCUGUCCUAUUUUAAAGAAGAGUACCAAGAACAGGACACAUACUGGGUAACACCCCACUUGUGUGAGCUGGAUGGUCACACCUAGGCAAUACCCAAAAGUCCCCCGAAGUCCCUGGGACCUGAUUAUUUGACCUAUCAGUCUGGGUCUGAGCAAUUGGUGACUCUUUGCCUUCUCCCCCCCCCCACUUCUGGACUUUGUGUAAGGGCCCCCCACUCCUGCCUGAGCGGCAGCGGAGCUACUUCACAGCAGUUCUGGCCCCUUCACCAGCUGGUCUCCGGACAGGAGUCCUCUGAGAUUUUCCAGGGAUGCCCCUCCACUGUGAGCUCUACCUCCAGGUCUGCUGGGUGGGGACCAGCAGCGCUGAGCUCAAGGAAAUUUAUGUUAGCACAGUGGAACCCACGACAAGGAGGGCAGACUCCUCCUGAGAGGGUAUCCACACGGCACCCUCUGCUGACGUUCAGGAUUGAAUGCCCCCAUAGGCAGAACCCGGGUGUACGCAGGAAAAAAAUGGAGGGACCGUUGGUCACACUGGUCACAGUACUAGCAGUGGGGUGGCUGGCUUAAAACAGCAGACACGUACCUCACAGAUCUGGAGACCAGAAGUCCAAAAUCCUUCAGGUAGGUCCCAGUCAGAGCCCUGGCACAGGGUCCUGAGUAUGCACCUGUCCUACCUUCUCCUAUGUUCUCACCAAGUGGUUCCCACACUCUGAUGGGCCUCGGGAGAAGGAACCAUUAAGGCACCCUUCUCCCAGACUCGGUUCUCUUGUGUCUGAGGUCCCUGGAUGCUUCUAGCUUCUGUGGGGGCAAAAGGAUGAUGAAGAGCCACAAGAAGCUACUGUACUGUUCUGAAUAUCAAUCAAAGGCAAGAGAAGCAGUCAAUGCUUCAAAAUUGUGCAGGAGGUCAGGGAGAACCAAGGGUAGGAUUAAGGCUGGUUGUUCAGUUUCUCUAUCUUUGGAAAAGAGCAGGAUUACUGGUCAAGUAUAGCUGCUUGUCCAUGCUGCAGCGGGCCAGAACUCCUCCUCAUACUUGUGGUAGAACUAGUUUAGCAUGGGUAGAUGGGCUUAGACAUGUGGACCUCAGGAGGGCACAUGCAUUUCUGAGAGAAAGCACAGGAGGUUUGAAGGAACAGGUCCAGAGUCAGGGCUGACUCCGGGGACAUCCUGAUGGUUCUAGGCCCGGCUGGAUGUAGGGAGUUUGGUGUUCUCACAGGUGACAAGCCGGGUUGGCAGUGUCUGAGGGUAGGGCUAACGUCAAGGGAUUCACCGAAAUGGCCCAAUCCAUGUAUAUACCCACAUCUGAGGUUACCCUACUGUGUGCGUUAUAAGGAGAGCUGUGGUCCCAAGUAUCUGCUGAACUCCUAGCCUGUACCUGCGGACUGACAGAGUCUGUGCAGAUGUAAAUGAGAAUGGAGUAGAGUAACCCCAACCCCACGGUAUCCUGGUGACUCAAGGGACGGAAACAGACAUGGGGAAAUCCCCAAUAGCGGGCAGACACGAAGCUUGGGUGAUAAAGCAACAGGCCAUCCGGAAUACCAGAGAUGGUCUGCAGCUACCAGCUAAUCAGGAAAAAAGAAAGGGUCCUUGUCAUCUCUAGGGCAUUCAGAGAGAACUCAGCCCUGCCCACACCUGGAUUUUGGGCUUCUGGCCCCCAGAACUGCGAGGCGCAUGUCUGUUGUUGUAAGCCAGCCACCCCAUGGCUGGCAUUGUGACCAGCUGGGCCAAAGGCCCCUUUGUGCACACACCUGGGUGUGACGGGAGGCCCCACUGUGCCCUCAUUCUUCUGUCUUGCUUAUGGGGACAUCUAAUCCUGAGUGUCAGAGCCUUUGGUGUGCAAGGAUGGAGACCAGGAGAACUUCCUCCACCCUUGAGGCAGUGUUAAGCAGUCUGAAGAACGCCUCCUCUCAGGUUGGACAUCUCUAGGUCCUGGAGUUUCCUGAAAGGUAAGGCACCUGUGGAGGAUGGUAGAGAAAUGGGUAUCAAAAUACCUGCUCUGGUUGCCCAGGAGCUGCCGAGGGCAGAGCGACUUGCCCCUCCAGAGGAACUCUAGAGCCCUGGCUGCCUUCCUCCUGCUGUGAAACUGGCACCUCUGGGCCACACAUUAGCCCGGUGUAUGCGGAUACCCAGACUUGAGUCCUUGCCUCAGCUCAGCCCCAGGUGGGAUAUGCUAUUUCCUGUUUAUGUGUGAAACCAGAAGGCAGCUCCCUUAGUGCCUCCUUUGGCUCACUGGUCUGUUCUGGUCUUGUCGCCUUAGGCAGGGCCCACCGUGCAUGGGCACUUUCCUGAGUAUGACCACAGUUGCACCCACAUGCUCCCUCUUACACCUGGCCCCCGUGACUUAACACUUCAGUCUCUUUCCUGACCUGCCCCAGCUUCCACCUACACCGCCUUUGCCAGCCAAGGGUGGGCCUCUUGGGCCAUCAUUGCUUGAUGUCCUCCAGGGUCAGUCAUGUCUGGCCUCUUCUGCAGAAAACCUUUGGAGGGGGUACUUCAGAGCUCCUCAGGAGUACCCUCACUUUCCUAUACUACACGCCCCGUGAAUACCGUGAAGCAUCAUGGGAUUUUCACUAUCCCUGGGCAGUGGCUCUCAACACUUACAACAUCCUUCUCUGGUCCUCAUUGGCUACUCCUCCAAGCCUCAGUCCACAGUGUGACAUUCUACAACUCAGACCCCAUGUCCCAAUGACAGGCCUACUCUCCUCAUGGCUUGAGGCUGAAGGAAUGCAAAGCCAGAACAACAAUAAAACAGAGGAGGGCUCUCCAGGAGGCCCAGUCUCCCUUCAACCCCUCAUGCCAGACUGAGGUGCUGCCCAAGGUCUGGGAUGAAACCCGAGGGCAAUGCCUCACCGCCUGGCCAGGUGGGUGCGGUCCAGCAGGAGCUAGCUGCCUGGCGCUGAGAGCGAGCGCGCUCGGAGCGCUGGGCGCUAAACACCUGCGGUCGCGCGCCCUGCCUCACCUGCGAAGUUCUUGGUGAAGACCAGGGUGACCAGCAGGAUGGGUACCAGCACGGUGCCGAUGGUGACCACGCGGUCGAACGGCAGUUCCAGCUUGAGCUGCAGCAGCAGCGCGGCCAGCGCGCCCGCCUUGUCGUCCUGCGAGCC